This 468-nucleotide ribosomal RNA is filed under the name uncultured bacterium. RNAcentral describes it as "partial 16S ribosomal RNA". It matches the Rfam family "Bacterial small subunit ribosomal RNA", at positions 36 to 507 of the family's 1533-position model. The record is from RNAcentral.
UCCUCCCUCUGGCGGCGUGCUUAACACAUGCAAGUCGAACGGUGAAGCUCCAGCUUGCUGGAGUGGAUCAGUGGCGAACGGGUGAGUAACACGUGAGCAACCUGCCCCUGACUCUGGAAUAAGCGCUGGAAACGGCGUCUAAUACUGGAUACGAGAAGGGUCCGCAUGGGCACUUUCUGGAAAGUUUUUCGGUUGGGGAUGGGCUCGCGGCCUAUCAGCUUGUUGGUGAGGUAAUGGCUCACCAAGGCGACGACGGGUAGCCGGCCUGAGAGGGCGACCGGCCACACUGGGACUGAGACACGGCCCAGACGCCUACGGGAGGCAGCAGUGGGGAAUAUUGCACAAUGGGCGAAAGCCUGAUGCAGCGACGCCGCGUGAGGGAUGACGGCCUUCGGGUUGUAAACCUCUUUCAGCAGGGAAGAAGCGAAAGUGACGGUACCUGCAGAAGAAGCACCGGCUAACUACGUG